RNAcentral lists this ribosomal RNA (450 nucleotides) under uncultured bacterium. RNAcentral's name for it is "partial 16S ribosomal RNA". It matches the Rfam family "Bacterial small subunit ribosomal RNA", at positions 354 to 796 of the family's 1533-position model. The record is from RNAcentral.
GUGGGGAAUAUUGGACAAUGGGCGAAAGCCUGAUCCAGCCAUGCCGCGUGUGUGAAGAAGGUCUUCGGAUUGUAAAGCACUUUAAGUUGGGAGGAAGGGCAGUAAGUUAAUACCUUGCUGUUUUGACGUUACCGACAGAAUAAGCACCGGCUAACUUCGUGCCAGCAGCCGCGGUAAUACGAAGGGUGCAAGCGUUAAUCGGAAUUACUGGGCGUAAAGCGCGCGUAGGUGGUUUUGUAAGUUGGAGGUGAAAUCCCCGGGCUCAACCUGGGAACUGCCUCCAAAACUGCAUGACUAGAGUACGGUAGAGGGUAGUGGAAUUGCCUGUGUAGCGGUGAAAUGCGUAGAUAUAGGAAGGAACACCAGUGGCGAAGGCGACUACCUGGACUGAUACUGACACUGAGGUGCGAAAGCGUGGGGAGCAAACAGGAUUAGAUACCCGGGUAGUCC